AGUGAACGCUGGCGGUAGGCCUAACACAUGCAAGUCGAACGGCAGCACAGUAAGAGCUUGCUCUUACGGGUGGCGAGUGGCGGACGGGUGAGGAAUACAUCGGAAUCUACUUUUUCGUGGGGGAUAACGUAGGGAAACUUACGCUAAUACCGCAUACGACCUACGGGUGAAAGCAGGGGAUCUUCGGACCUUGCGCGACUGAAUGAGCCGAUGUCGGAUUAGCUAGUUGGCGGGGUAAAGGCCCACCAAGGCGACGAUCCGUAGCUGGUCUGAGAGGAUGAUCAGCCACACUGGAACUGAGACACGGUCCAGACUCCUACGGGAGGCAGCAGUGGGGAAUAUUGGACAAUGGGCGCAAGCCUGAUCCAGCCAUACCGCGUGAGUGAAGAAGGCCUUCGGAUUGUAAAGCCCUUUUGUUAGGAAAGAAAAGCAGCAGGUUAAUACCCCGCUGUUCUGACGGUACCCAAAGAAAAAGCACCGGCUAACUUCGUG
RNAcentral lists this ribosomal RNA (492 nucleotides) under uncultured bacterium. RNAcentral describes it as "partial 16S ribosomal RNA". It matches the Rfam family "Bacterial small subunit ribosomal RNA", at positions 29 to 507 of the family's 1533-position model. The record is from RNAcentral.